RNAcentral lists this non-coding RNA (22 nucleotides) under Arabidopsis thaliana (thale cress). Lineage: Eukaryota; Viridiplantae; Streptophyta; Magnoliopsida; Brassicales; Brassicaceae. The record is from RNAcentral.
GGCUUACCUGGUUGUGAGGUUC